CCUGAAAUAGCUUUUCUCUUUCACAGUCACCAUGUGGACAAGCACCAGCCCUGUUUCCCAUGCAUUAGCUGUAUUUAGGCAAAUUGCUUAAACUCCCUGGGCAUCAAUUUGUAAAUUUCAAAGAUGGAGCUGGGAUAUUAUACCCGCAUCACGGAGAGGCUGUGAAAAUCAAGUGAGAACACAGGCACGAAAGCACCCAUCAGGUCCACGCAGACAGCAAGUGCCCCAGUAACUCGUGAUGAGGUUAUUAUUAGCUUCACCCGCACACACACCAGCAGUGUGGGGUCAGAACGCAGCAGACUCCUUGUCAAAGGGCCAUGUGAGAAGAGACUGCCAGUCCAGACCAGGCCUGGAUCAGACUGUGCGCUCACCACGCAGAUGGACGCGUGCUCGGUCAGAAAGGUUCAGUUGCAGGUGGCACACGCUGGAGUUCCCGUCAUGGCUCAGAGGCUGUGCGGUGCUGCUGACUAUAGGAAUCCGUGUCAACCACAGGAAGACUGCAGAUCUUCUGAGUACUGGCCAACUUAGGUACUUCACUUAAUCAACGUACUAGACCAGCAUAAAAUGCUAGUUCAUUCCCCAACAAAAAUUUUGAACAGGGUCUUAAUGAAAACUUGUAUUGCUCUGGGCAUGAAUCCAUAUACUGUUCCUUGCUUGGUCUACGGAUGUACACCGUAAAGCUGCUGAAAAUCCUUUCUUGAUUCCAGCAACAUUUCAAAUCCAGCGACACUGUAGCAUCUCCUGGUUAAGGAGAAGGUUCCCACGGCCUUCGUGUAAGGGAGAGAGUGGAACUGCAGAUGGUCACGAGGCUCCGCUCUGGGGCUUGUGUCUGCAUCGGGGUCCUGCUGGGGAAGCCAGCUGCCCGGGGUCCACUCCUCACUGCUCAGUGCUUCCACGACCACCAUAAAACCCAGCUUUAUGUCAUGGCCUGAUGGCCAAAUGGAAUUCACCAUUAUUUCUGAAACGUAAAAUCCCAUUAGCCAUCUAUGACUUUGAGCCAAUAUACUUCCACUGGCAAACUUAAGAACAAGGAAAUAAGUGCACUGUCGCAAUAACAAACCCUCACGGACGGAGGAUGGGUAUGCCUUCCUCUGGUCUUCCGUCAGCCCUACCAGUGCAGGGUUUACAGGUGACGACAGCAUGGAACACGUUCCAGGUCUAAUCAUUCUAUAGGCUUUACAGUGGCCCUACCUCAUACUUACAUUCCUAUUCCCUUUACAAAGUUGACAAACAGGCAUUUGUAUUAUGCCUAACAUUUGCCUUGAGAAUUUAGAAGAAGUAGGAGGAGGAAAAACACUUAAAUAACUUGAUUUGGGCAGAUUGAGGAUUUCCUUAAGAUAAGAAAUAAUGUGCUUUUACAAGAGAAAAACUACUGCUGCUUCUUUUCUUUUUUUUCCCAUCUUGCCUUUGCAAUAUCAACAGAGACCACCCCUUUUUUCCCCCUCAACUUUAAAAUAUGCUAAAACAUUAAUUACUGGGAGGACCAGUAAUUAAAGUGGGGACUCGGGAUACUAGAUUGUGGUCAACCGAUCACUGUCCCCUCCCUUCACCAGCCUUGCAUUGACUAAAGGACACUUUUCUCAGUGCCACCAAUGCUGGACUUCAGCAGGUGACCCUCAGCCAAGAACAUGUGAGCAGAGGCUUUCACUGUGCUCGCCUGGCUUGGCACGCUUCUGAUGCAGCUGUGAGCUACCCCAGAAAACCCACCCCACAUACCUGCUGGUCCAAGGGGGAGGAGGAUCAGUGGAGCCCACCUGGCCCAAUCGGGUACCCAGAGACAAACCCGGUCCAGCCCAACAUGGCUGAGGUCAGCCAAUAUCCAGCCAGCCAGGAAACUCAAGAGCAAGAGAGAUAAAUGGUUUUUAAAUUUCAGGAACUAUCUGUUACACUGCAUUAUCACAAAUGUAGCUGACUACUACACAAUCUUACUAAAACAUACUGAGUUAUAGCAGCAUAUGCUCAAAGACUGAACAGGAAUUGAAGCAGUCGUCUGCCACUGAUGCUCUCAUUUGGUAGAUGACACUAUUGAAGCUCAAAAUCUCUAACUUGCUCCAAGGUACACAAGAGGAGAAUGGGCUCAGGUCUCCUGAUCCCCGGUGCCUUUCCUGACUGAGCAAAGGCAGAUUCUGGAUUAGCAUGGGUCUUCGUUACGAGCCCUGGGUUGUACUGUCCAGCUCCCCGAUUUAAGUGCACGCCCCUCUGUCCACUCUCCUCCCGCCCUCCCUCCCUGCUUCUCCAUCAUCCUCUAUACUUGUUCUCAGAGUGUGCUGUGAUUUCUACUCAGUAACCCCUUCAGCCCUUGUGAGGAAGCUCAGCUCACUCUGGGGUUACACGAGGAGGUCUGUUCUAAGAUUGGUGAUUUUAGCAAGUCGGAUUCUGGUUUGUUUCGUUAUUCCCAAAAUCACUUUCCAAAUCUCACACUUAAUUCCUAGGACCCCAGACAUUCAUAGCUCUAUGGGGUCGUGAGGUUACUUCACCCCAGUUUAUCUUGAGUGGAUUUUAAAGGAGAAGGAGAAUUCUUUCUUUCUUUCUUUUUAGGGCCACACCUGCUGCACCAGGCUAGGUAUCAAAUUGGAGCUGCGGCUGCCAGCCUACACCACAGACACAUCAACUUGAGACCCAAGCCACAUCUGCAACCUACACUGCUGCUCACGGCAACACUGGAUCCUUAACCCACUGAGAGGGGCCAGGGAUCGAACCCACCUCCUCGUGGAUUCUAGUUGAUUUUGUUACCACUGAGCCACAGCAGGAACUCCCUAGAGGAGGGGGAGAGUUCUCAAUACGUCUGAAGCUUGAAGCAAAGUGGCUCCACGUUGGUAAAAGCCUAACACAAACAGAUUUUCCUUUUGUUACGUACAGUGGUAGUGAAAGUCCUCGACUCCACAGCCGCUUCUUUCCCCACUGCUUUGAAAGCUCCAUCCUUGCACACUUUCCCAUCUCCUGCCCAGAUUCGCUCUGAUCAAUUCAUUACUCUCUGUAGGGCUGGAGCUUACGGUCAGGACCUUUAAGAAUCUCCUCAAGGCUCCUCCAAAUAAGUGCCACUUCUCUUAAAAACAUACUCAGUGCAGCUCAAGUUUUACUCUGCACAUGAUGUCCCACCUCCUAAAAUGCCUUCUGGGAGCUCUUCUGACCUGUGCCUGAACCAAAGCCGCAGCGUCCGCUGCUCCCUGGGACCAGCUCCCGCUCCUGAUUUUGACCAACCCAGGUGCGCUGACCCUCAGCAGGUUCAUCCCACUAUCUCAUCGGCUCAGGACUCCACACUCACCUCCGGCCCAUCUCUUUGUUCUGUGCAUGGAUUCUUUCCUUUCUAUUUUUUGAUGAGUGUCCCAAAUCCCACUUUCAACUUGAAGCAUCUCCCAAAUAAAGACAGCAUACACCGCA
This 3381-nucleotide long non-coding RNA is filed under the name Sus scrofa (pig). RNAcentral's name for it is "lncRNA (ENSSSCG00050056983.1)". The record is from RNAcentral. Lineage: Eukaryota; Metazoa; Chordata; Mammalia; Artiodactyla; Suidae.